CCCAUGACACAGACACUGAGCGGUUUUCACUGGUGAAUUUGGACAGGUCCCCAGCUGUUCCCAAGGCACCAGGGAAGUCACAGUCAGAUGGACACGUGCCUUCAAGUGAGCUUCUCUGAUAAGGAAAUCACUUCGACCGCGAUGGUACAGCCUCACCGACAUCAGGAGACUGGCCCGUCCACUCAAGUGAGAAGCCCAGAAUCAAGAAGGAAGUGUAGACAACUCUGAAUACCCUAAAAAACAAUGAAUGGUACACUUCAAACAGACAUUUCACAACAUGCUGGAAGGACAGGAAGACUGUAUUUGCUGAUGGACAGAUUUUUUGACGGGGAUCAGUGAGGAUGGCUCAUCUCUGUUCCAUGUGGCGUCUGCUGGGAUUGGAACUCCCUAGACCACUUUUUCACGCACAUGUUUGGU
Lutra lutra (Eurasian river otter) is the source of this 417-nucleotide long non-coding RNA. RefSeq lists it as uncharacterized. The transcript has 3 exons. The record is from RefSeq and is a predicted model, not a curated record. NCBI's taxonomy places the organism in Eukaryota, Metazoa, Chordata, Mammalia, Carnivora, Mustelidae.